RNAcentral lists this ribosomal RNA (1990 nucleotides) under human gut metagenome. RNAcentral describes it as "bacterial LSU rRNA". It matches the Rfam family "Bacterial large subunit ribosomal RNA", at positions 597 to 2578 of the family's 2925-position model. The record is from RNAcentral.
CUGCGUACCUUUUGUAUAAUGGGUCAGCGAGUUAUCUGUAUUAGCGAGGUUAACUUUAAUGAGGGAGCCGUAGGGAAACCGAGUCUUAAUAGGGCGAGGAGUUGAUGCAGGUAGACCCGAAACCGAGUGAUCUAGUCCUGGACAGGCUGAAAGCAGGGUAACACCUGCCGGAGGGCCGAACCUACUGUCGUUGCAAAGCCAGAGGAUGAUCUGGGACUAGGGGUGAAAGGCCAAUCAAACCCGGUGAUAGCUGGUUCUCCCCGAAAGCUAUUUAGGUAGCGUCCUGCAGGGGCGUAUGGGGGUAGAGCACUGUUAUAGGAAGGGGUUCAUUGCGAACUACCGACCUAUUGCAAACUACGAAUACCAUACAGUUGUAAGCAGGGGACACACAGUGGGUGCUAACGUUCAUUGUGAAGAGGGAAACAACCCGGACCGCCAGCUAAGGUCCCAAAGUUCUGAUUAAGUGGGAAACGAUGUGGGAAGGCAUAGACAGCCAGGAUGUUGGCUUAGAAGCAGCCAUCAUUUAAAGAAAGCGUAAUAGCUCACUGGUCGAGUCGGCCUGCGCGGAAGAUGUAACGGGGCUCAAAUCAGACACCGAAGCUGCGGAUUUGUACUUAGGUACAAGUGGUAGGGGAGCGUUGUGUAAGCCUGAGAAGAUGUACUGGAAGGUAUGUUGGAGGUAUCACAAGUGCGAAUGCUGACGCAAGUAACGAUAAAACGAGUUAAAUGCUCGUUCGCCGGAAGACCAAGGUUUCCUGUCCAACGUUAAACGGGGCAGGGUUAGUCGGAACCUAAGGCGAGGAUGAAAAUCGUAGUCGAAGGGAAACGGGUUAAUAUUCCCGUACUUGGAUAUGUUGCGAUGAGGUGACGGAGGAGGUAAGGUUAGCCAGCCGAUGGUUGUGCUGGUGAAAGGCAGUAGGUAGUAAGAAGGGUUAAAAGACUUUUUACGAUAAUCUGAGAGCCGAGACGAAUUAACUACGGUUAAGAAGUAACCCUAUCCAGACUUCCAGGAAAAGCCUCUAAGCUCCAGACAUAUACAAUCCGUACCCCAAACCGACACAGGUGGUCGGGUAGAAGAUACCAAGGCGCUUGGGAGAACCCGGGUGAAGGAACUAGGCAAAAUUGUACCGUAACUUCGGGAGAAGGUACGCUGUGGUUUGUAAUAAGAUUAACUCUUAGAGCGAACUGCAGCCGCAGAUAAAUGGUGGCUGGGACUGUUUAACAAAAACAUAGCACUCUGCAAACCUGAAAGGGGAAGUAUAGGGUGUGACACCUGCCCGGUGCCGGAAGGUUAAAUGAUGAGGUUAGAGCAAUCGAAGCCUCUGAGUGAAGCCCCGGUAAACGGCGGCCGUAACUAUAACGGUCCUAAGGUAGCGAAAUUCCUUGUCGGGCAAGUUCCGACCUGCACGAAUGGUGUAACCAUGGCCACGCUGUCUCCACCCGGGACCCAGUGAAACCGAAAUCGCUGUGAAGAUGCAGUGUACCCGCGGCUAGACGGAAAGACCCCGUGAACCUUUACUGCAGCUUGACACUGAACCUUGAACCUGUUUGUGCAGGAUAGGCGGGAGACUUAGAAGUAGAGACGCCAGUCUUUAUGGAGUCGACCUUGAAAUACCGCCCUGAUAUGUUUGAGGUUCUAACUUGAAGGUAACAGCCUUAAGGACAGUGUCUGGUGGGAAGUUUGACUGGGGCGGUCUCCUCCCAAAGAGUAACGGAGGAGCACGAAGGUCGGCUGAUCACGGUCGGAAACCGUGAGGUCAGUGCAAUGGCAAAAGCCGGCUUGACUGCGAGAGCAACAACUCGAGCAGGUGCGAAAGCAGGUCAUAGUGAUCCGGUGGUUCCAUAUGGACGGGCCAUCGCUCAACGGAUAAAAGGUACUCUGGGGAUAACAGGCUGAUACCGCCCAAGAGUUCAUAUCGACGGCGGUGUUUGGCACCUCGAUGUCGGCUCAUCACAUCCUGGGGCUGAAGUUGGUCCCAAGGGUAUGGCU